CCUACGGGUGGCAGCAGUGAGGAAUAUUGGUCAAUGGGCGCGAGCCUGAACCAGCCAAGUAGCGUGAAGGAGGACUGCCCUGCGUGUUGUAAACUUCUUUUAUAAAGGAAUAAAGUGAGGCACGUGUGCCUUGUUGUGUGUACUUUAUGAAUAAGGAUCGGCUAACUCCGUGCCAGCAGCCGCGGUAAUACGGAGGAUCCGAGCGUUAUCCGGAUUUAUUGGGUUUAAAGGGAGCGUAGAUGGGUUGUUAAGUCAGGUGUGAAAGUUUGGGGCUCAACCGUAAAAUGGCAAUUGAUACUGGCAGUCUUGAGUUCAGUUGAGGUAGGCGGAAUUCGUGGUGUAGCGGUGAAAUGCUUAGAUAUCACGCAGAACUCCGAUUGCGAAGGCAGCUUACCAA
Molecule: ribosomal RNA, 397 nt
Filed under: uncultured bacterium
Lineage: Bacteria
Description: partial 16S ribosomal RNA
Rfam family: Bacterial small subunit ribosomal RNA
Source: RNAcentral